CAGCCGCCGCGGUAAUACGUAGGUGGCAAGCGUUGCCCGGAAUUAUUGGGCGUAAAGGGCUCGCAGGCGGUUUCUUAAGUCUGGUGUGAAAGCCCCCGGCUCAACCGGGGAGGGUCAUUGGAAGCUGGGAAACUUGAGUGCAGAAGAGGAGAGUGGAAUUCCACGUGUAGCGGUGAAAUGCGUAGAGAUGUGGAGGAACACCAGUGGCGAAGGCGACUCUCUGGUCUGUAACUGACGCUGAGGAGCGAAAGCGUGGGGAGCGAACAGGAUUAGAUACCCGGGUAGUCCCUGUCUCUUAUAC
Molecule: ribosomal RNA, 301 nt
Filed under: uncultured bacterium
Lineage: Bacteria
Description: partial 16S ribosomal RNA
Rfam family: Bacterial small subunit ribosomal RNA
Source: RNAcentral